AGUGAACGCUGGCGGUAGGCCUAACACAUGCAAGUCGAACGGCAGCACAGUAAGAGCUUGCUCUUACGGGUGGCGAGUGGCGGACGGGUGAGGAAUACAUCGGAAUCUACUUUUUCGUGGGGGAUAACGUAGGGAAACUUACGCUAAUACCGCAUACGACCUACGGGUGAAAGCAGGGGAUCUUCGGACCUUGCGCGAUUGAAUGAGCCGAGGUCGGAUUAGCUAGUUGGCGGGGUAAAGGCCCACCAAGGCGACGAUCCGUAGCUGGUCUGAGAGGAUGAUCAGCCACACUGGAAGUGAGAAACGGCCCAGACUCCUACGGGAGGCAGCAGUGGGGAAUAUUGGACAAUGGGGGCAAGCCUGAUCCAGCCAUACCGCGUGGGUGAAGAAGGCCUUCGGGUUGUAAAGCCCUUUUGUUGGGAAAGAAAAGCAGCAGGUUAAUACCCCGCUGUUCUGACGGUACCCAAAGAAUAAGCUCCGGCUAACUUCGUG
RNAcentral lists this ribosomal RNA (492 nucleotides) under uncultured bacterium. Its description in RNAcentral is "partial 16S ribosomal RNA". It matches the Rfam family "Bacterial small subunit ribosomal RNA", at positions 29 to 507 of the family's 1533-position model. The record is from RNAcentral.